GCAGUCGAGCGGACAGAUGGGAGCUUGCUCCCUGAUGUUAGCGGCGGACGGGUGAGUAACACGUGGGUAACCUGCCUGUAAGACUGGGAUAACUCCGGGAAACCGGGGCUAAUACCGGAUGGUUGUUUGAACCGCAUGGUUCAAACAUAAAAGGUGGCUUCGGCUACCACUUACAGAUGGACCCGCGGCGCAUUAGCUAGUUGGUGAGGUAACGGCUCACCAAGGCAACGAUGCGUAGCCGACCUGAGAGGGUGAUCGGCCACACUGGGACUGAGACACGGCCCAGACUCCUACGGGAGGCAGCAGUAGGGAAUCUUCCGCAAUGGACGAAAGUCUGACGGAGCAACGCCGCGUGAGUGAUGAAGGUUUUCGGAUCGUAAAGCUCUGUUGUUAGGGAAGAACAAGUACCGUUCGAAUAGGGCGGUACCUUGACGGUACCUAACCAGAAAGCCACGGCUAACUACGUGCCAGCAGCCGCGGUAAUACGUAGGUGGCAAGCGUUGUCCGGAAUUAUUGGGCGUAAAGGGCUCGCAGGCGGUUUCUUAAGUCUGAUGUGAAAGCCCCCGGCUCAACCGGGGAGGGUCAUUGGAAACUGGGGAACUUGAGUGCAGAAGAGGAGAGUGGAAUUCCACGUGUAGCGGUGAAAUGCGUAGAGAUGUGGAGGAACACCAGUGGCGAAGGCGACUCUCUGGUCUGUAACUGACGCUGAGGAGCGAAAGCGUGGGGAGCGAACAGGAUUAGAUACCCUGGUAGUCCACGCCGUAAACGAUGAGUGCUAAGUGUUAGGGGGUUUCCGCCCCUUAGUGCUGCAGCUAACGCAUUAAGCACUCCGCCUGGGGAGUACGGUCGCAAGACUGAAACUCAAAGGAAUUGACGGGGGCCCGCACA
This 888-nucleotide ribosomal RNA is filed under the name Bacillus spizizenii. RNAcentral describes it as "bacterial SSU rRNA". It matches the Rfam family "Bacterial small subunit ribosomal RNA", at positions 57 to 927 of the family's 1533-position model. The record is from RNAcentral. Lineage: Bacteria; Bacillati; Bacillota; Bacilli; Caryophanales; Bacillaceae.